Molecule: long non-coding RNA, 1237 nt
Filed under: Setaria viridis
Lineage: Eukaryota; Viridiplantae; Streptophyta; Magnoliopsida; Poales; Poaceae
Description: long non-coding RNA (SVIR_LNC011455)
Source: RNAcentral
AUGAAGAAAUAUAUGUCUCAUGGCCAGUCCCAAAGUUUCAUAGCAGCGAUGCCACUACCCAAGGCAAUGGAAUAUGAGACCACUUUCAAAUGGAGGAAGACCUCAAAGAUGAAAACCCUUGAAGGUGAACCUCUACAAAUAAAAACUUAAUCUCUGACGUUUGCUAUGGAAUAUGCAAACAUGUAAGGUUUGCUCCAAAAAAAGCUGAAGAACCUCGGAGCCCUUCCGUCACUAAUGGAAAAUAUUACAAAAGUAGCAUAAAAACUUCUACAACUACAUGGCACAAAUAACAAAUACCAGUGCAAUGAAAGAACACAUGACAAAAUGUUUGUCUCAUGGCCAGUCCCAAUGUUUCAUUGCGGCGACGCCGCUACCAAGGGCAAUGGAAUAUGAGACCGCCUUCAAAUGGAGAAAUUCCAGAAGGAAAAUCUCAACAUCAAAAGGCUUACUUUAUGACGUUAGCUUGGAAAUAUGCAAACAUGUGUGGUUUGCUCCACAAGAAAGCUGAAGGACAUGGACGCCCUUCCGUCAAACAUUAAAUUGUUGUCACUGUCAAUGAAAAUAAUGAGACAGUCUCCAAUGCAUUCAUCUGCUUUGGAAAACAUUCAACAGCCCCAAAAAAAACAGAACAAGAUUGCAACCAUGGCUGCAUCAUAAACAAUGGAGCAAUAACAGUACCAAAAUGGUUUGCAAGCAAUUGAAUAGCAGCAACGCCACUACCCAAGGCAAUGGAAUAUGAGACCACUUUCAAAUGGAGGAAGACCUCACAGAUGAAAACCCUUGAAGGUGAACCUCUACAAAUAAAAACUUAAUCUCUGACGACUGCUAUGGAAUAUGCAAACAUGUAAGGUUUGCUCCAAAAAAAGCUAAGGAACAUCGGAGAGGGAAAAUAUUACAAAAGUAGCAUAAAAACUUCUACAACUACAUGGCACAAAUAACAAAUACCAGUGCAAUGAAAGAACACAUGACAAAAUGUUUGUCUCAUGGCCAGUCCCAAUGUUUCAUUGCGGCGACGCAGCUACCAAGGGCAAUGGAAUAUGAGACCACCUUCAAAUGGAGAAAUUCCAGAAGGAAAAUCUCAACAUCAAAAGGCUUAGUUUAUGACGUUAGCUUGAGAAUAUGCAAACAUGUGUGGUUUGCUCCACAAGAAAGCUGAAGGACAUGGACGCCCUUCCGUCAAACUUUAAAUUGUUGUCACUGUCUAUGAAAAUAAUGAGACAGUCUCCAAUGCAUUCAU